GAAGGAGAGUCAUAGAUAUUCAAACCAAAAGUUAUAAUGAUGCAAUAUUUAUAGAGAGACAGAAUGAUGUUUAUUGCAUACCAAUCUACUAAUUGAAACAAACUGUAUCAAGUACCUUGUCAUAUCCAAAGAUGAGUGAGACACAGACUCUUGCAAUUUAAUGAAAGAGAUAUGAAAAUGAUUACUUAAAAAAGUUUGAAUAAUGUAGUGUAAUGAUAGAAACACAAAUUGCAGUGGGACUAGGCUGUCUAUUGUAACUUGGAAAUUGAUCAGGGACAACAGAGUUAAAAUGAGGCUGGUGCAUCGGGAGUGGAGGUUAGCAUUUGCUCAACUGUAGGCCCUUGAUCUUCUGGAGUGCCCCCAUAUAGCCUUUCUGAAUGCCUUACACACAUAGACCCAUACACCACUGUAUUCAUGGGUCUCCCAAGCACAAGAAUUCCUUCCUAGCUCCCACACUGCUUCCUUCUCUCCAUCAACUAGUUGACAUUUUGGAUCUUCUUGCUUCCACAUCUUAUUUUCCAUUCUUUUUUGCAGCAUGCAGAUUUGGUAUGUGAUCUACUUCAUGACUAACCACAGAAAUCUCCAAGACUACUGCUAGCUAUGAUCCAUGUUCCACAUUCCAUGACUAACUCUAUGAGAUACUGUACUCUAGAAGGAAAUCUGGAAGUUAUCCCAGAGUCUGGCAGCCAUUGCUGGGCCACAGAAUAACAACAUGUAGAAAGUGCUAAUAGUUCCUCCAAGGAGAGGGAACAUAACAUUGGACAGAGACUCUGGUGUUCAAAUCAGGUCAGAACAACAUGGAUUCAAGCCCCGAUCUGAUGUUUUCCAAUCAAAUUGAACUGAGGAUAUGAAUCACAUUGUUCUCUCCUACCUCCACUAUGGGACAGUAUGGAGAAGACAAGCAGGGAAAGACCUUUCUAGAAUCCAGUCACUAUAAAAAGAGGCAGAUUAAGCCAUUUGAAAAAUGAAACAUUUAAUCAAGUCACCUGCUUCAUAGGAAACAUGGUAUCAAAUACCCUCUUCUGAUUCAUUCUGUUCCAGAGAGAAAUAAAAAUUAUUUACGUGUUUUAUUCAUUUCUGGUCAAAUGAAUAAUAAUUUAUUCAUCCCAUUUGUUUAUUCAUAUGUAUAUCACAAAAUGUAUGAAGUUUUGCUUAACUGUUGAGCUCUUACUACAACUUAAAAAUAGUCUAAGCUGGAGGGAGCUGCUGAGGUUUGGAAGGAAGGAACUAAAGAUAUAAGAUCUAAUCUUCUCCCUUCUAGAGUGUGAUGGUAGAGACUUUGUAUAAAGACAUAGAAAGGGAAUGAUGUAUAUCAAAAAUAAAAGUUCAAUUUGAUAACCACUGGAAAGCAGAAGAAUGGUUUGUGGUUUGACCUAGAUGGAGCUCAGAGUUCAUAUGUAAAAUAGAGGAAGCUGAUAAGGAAAUUUGAAACCAGACUGUGAAAACCCUUAAAUCACUCACUCUAUUAAGGCAUAACCUUCAUGGGUAGGCUUUAAUAAUUAGUAAUUAGAAGAAGUUGCCAGAAGCACCAUUAAGCACAGAAAGAACUAUACCCUCCUUCCUGGAGAUAUGGCAACUAGCUGAGCCUCGGGAUUUUGCAAAAUUGAAUGUUUAAGUCACAGGCUAACUCGUGCAAGCUUCAAACCUUCAUGCCUACUUGUAGCCUGAAAGAAUCUUGAGUUUUUUAUUAUUUAAAUGGUCUAUUUCCAUGUCUGUAAUGCCUAUAAUCACCUACCUAAAAUUCAAUGUUUAACUUUUUAAAAUAAAAUACCUCUCUAUUUGAUGUUCGGGCCAUAGACUGGUAUUUGGGAAGGACUGUAAAUAUAUAAAGUAUGCACACACACAUACAUGACAUGAAUAGAUAAUUGCUGAGAAUAGGAAAUUGUAUCUGGAAUUGCUAUAAGUAAAUAAAUUUGUAGAAAAGAAGUAAUGCCUAUAAGAGAUGCAUCUCCCAAGAAUUACAUGUAUCAAACUUCAAAUACCAUAAUAUCCACUAAUUCUUAGGCAUAUGAAGGCAUUUGACAAUCUUCUGAUUAAAUCUUUCUCUUUCUCCCCUUUUGGUAGGAUCUAAAUCAAAAUAGUGACAGAAACAAUUUCAGAAGGGAAAAUGGAAAAGUACAUAGGAUAGUUGGAGUUACAUGCAUGUCUGUGCAUUCUCAUGAUUUAUAUUCUGUUGACUUCUGUAGUGCAAAAUAAAUAAAAAUUCAAGCCCCCUUUUACUUUGGAACUGUGAUUUUGGCAAGAUGGAGAAAAAUAUUUUACCAUAUAAAGAGGUAACUUUUUUUUGGUAACAUUUUAUGUUAUCAUGUAACCAUUCACCAUAUAAUUUCACAGACCUCUUCAAUAACUUCUUAAGGACAAAAAGUAAUUACCGAAUCACCGUUAAGAGCAUCUGAUCUUUAAACAUCUGAAUAAACAUAUAAACUGCUUAUUAUA
Long non-coding RNA from Felis catus (domestic cat), 2436 nucleotides. RefSeq lists it as uncharacterized. NCBI's taxonomy places the organism in Eukaryota, Metazoa, Chordata, Mammalia, Carnivora, Felidae. The transcript has 3 exons. The record is from RefSeq and is a predicted model, not a curated record.